Sebastes umbrosus (honeycomb rockfish) is the source of this 392-nucleotide long non-coding RNA. RefSeq lists it as uncharacterized. NCBI's taxonomy places the organism in Eukaryota, Metazoa, Chordata, Actinopteri, Perciformes, Sebastidae. The record is from RefSeq and is a predicted model, not a curated record. The transcript is spliced from 2 exons.
GAGAAGGUGCAGAAGUCUGGUUAUCUCUCAGAACACUUGGAUUACAAUAUGCUGAAAGAUUUUCUACAGACUGGAGGCCGUCGCUGCUGAGAUUGAUGAAACAGUGGAACAUUUUACGAUCAUUUGCUUUGAAGAUCACAACAAAUGUGCUGCUGGGACAACAGAGAAGAUCGUCAGCACUUUGGCCUUCUGAGAACAUAAAGACAGAGACGAAAGCUUCAGAAAGAUCCCAGAAGGCCACAGCAUCAUCCACGAGUCAGUUCUGAAGCUCAAUUCUGUUAAAAGUAAUUUCAUGCUUUUGGGGGCAGAAAAUGCAAUGAGGAUAUCCAUUCAAAUUCAAAUAAUGAUGAAAUCAAUAAACCGAAAAACUGAUUCAUGGUUAUUUAUGCCAA